Molecule: long non-coding RNA, 407 nt
Filed under: Pseudonaja textilis
Lineage: Eukaryota; Metazoa; Chordata; Lepidosauria; Squamata; Elapidae
Description: lncRNA (ENSPTXG00000014290.1)
Source: RNAcentral
CUCUAUAUUCUAUUCUCUAAUCGUUUCAUUUCUCAUUCUAUUCUAUUCAUCUCUAAUUUUAUUCUCUAUUCCAUUCUAUUCAUUAUUUCCUUGCUCUUUAUUCUUAUUCAACAGUGGUGAACCCCUCCCUGACCGAAUCGACUCUGAAGAACAUCCCUCAGGUGGUAAAUGUCCGAGAGCUGAAAAGCAGCGGGUCUCCCCCGACCGUUUCUCCAGCAGUGGGGUCAUCAGUUCCUCAAAGUGCUGCUCAAGGUGUCCAUCAAGUUUUGGCUAUGGUGGCAACAAAUCAAGUCAACCAGGGGACCCCGUCAAGCACCCUGAAGAUGCAGGCGCCGCCCAGUUCGGCAGCGGCGACCGUGGCGCCCAUCAGCCAGACCUCGGUUGGGAAGAAGAAUUCAGGUCAGUUU